This is a long non-coding RNA of Rhea pennata, 1166 nucleotides long. RefSeq lists it as uncharacterized. Lineage: Eukaryota; Metazoa; Chordata; Aves; Rheiformes; Rheidae. The record is from RefSeq and is a predicted model, not a curated record. The transcript is spliced from 3 exons.
UCAGGCGGAGCGGGGCGGCUGGUCCGUGACGCGCCGGGGCGGCGGGGGCCCGGGAGCGGCCGGGAGCGCCCGACGGCGGUUCCUGCCGCGGAGGGUCUGCCCUCGGCGGGAUGCUGGGAUGCGGGGUGCUGUUCGGCGCCGGCGUUCUCUGAGGAAACGGCGCUUUCCUGAGCAGGACGGUCCGAGUCGUGAGGAAAAGGUGCCGUGUGGUGGCAGGACUUCGCCAGGGACGAGGCUGGCGGUGAAACUCACCCCUAACGGUCGCAGUCGCCUGUCUGCCGUGGUCAGAGCAACAUGAUCUUGUGCAGAGCUGUUGGAGUACUAUAGAUUUUUUCCCCAGCCUUGAUAAAUACUGGAACUUUUGCAGUACCGCUGGUUUAGCAGUCUCUGAGCCUGGAGAAGCGAAAGCCGGCGGGUUACCCGCUCUGGCUUUGCUAGGACGCAGGGCAGAUGUCCUUUUGUCACAUACGCAAAGGAAGCUGGACAGAAAAGGGCUGACAGCUCACCACAUCCUGUGAGUGAGGACAUGGAGCCUGCCAGGAAGGUCUGGGCUGUGAACUGGCAUAGCAACUCAUCUCACUGGAAAAAGCUACGCUUCAGGAAAAAAAGGGGGAAAGACUGUGAGAAUUAUAUCUAAUGGUAUUCCUAGUGCUUCUGAAGUGUCUGUUAAGGAAGUUUUACAGGUCCUGAAAGUGAAGAAGGGUUUAAACAGGCCCAUCGAAACCCUUCAAUCACCCUGUGCAGAGGGAGAAACUUAGCAAUGCUGGAGAGAGUCAGCAACCAAAAAAAAAAAAAAAAAAAAAAAAAAAAAAAAAAAAAACCUUUAAAUUCCAAAGGAGAGAAUAAAAUGGCUAGAAGACAGGCAAUUUCUACUGAAAAUCUCACAAACAAGGGAUAAAGCUCAAAUACAAACAAUUAGAAAGAAGCACAUCUGUCAUGUCUGUGGUACUGUCAAAACGAGAAUCCAUCUGGGAAAAGAUCCAGCACUACCUCCUUUGAGUUAUAUAUUUUUUCUCUUUAAAUAUUGUAUGGCAUCCAUCUCUAUGGCUGUGUGUUGUCUGUGCUGGCAUGUGGGUGUGUAUUGCUGAAGGCUCCGUGUAUUAGCAGAAGAUCUAUAGUCUCAUUUUAGGAAUUUUGCUGCUAUAAAAAUAUAUUUCUGUUUGUGA